UACGUAGGGGGCGAGCGUUACCCGGAAUCACUGGGCGUAAAGCGCGCGUAGGCGGUGACAUCCGUCGAUGGUCAAAGUCGCGGGCUCAACCCGCGGACGGCCGUCGAAACCGUGUCGCUCGAGGGCGGGAGAGGAAGGUGGAACUCCCGGAGGAGCGGUGAAAUGCGAUGAUACCGGGAAGAACCCCAAUGGCGAAGGCAGCCUUCUGGCCCGCUUCUGACGCUGAGGCGCGAAGGCACGGGGAGCAAAC
This 250-nucleotide ribosomal RNA is filed under the name uncultured bacterium. RNAcentral's name for it is "partial 16S ribosomal RNA". It matches the Rfam family "Bacterial small subunit ribosomal RNA", at positions 524 to 773 of the family's 1533-position model. The record is from RNAcentral.